GGUUUAUGUUGGGCAGUUGAUCCGCAUUAUGCGGGUAGGAAAGUCCGAACACCACAGAGCAUGGUGCCGGGUAACACCCGGGGUCUCUUUGUUGGGACACGGAAAGUGCCACAGAAAAAAUACCGCCCCAAUUUAGUUUGGGGUAAGGGUGAAAAGGCGAGGUAAAAGCUCACCGCGUUAAUAGUAAUAUUAACGGUCCCGUAAGGGAUCCCGCUUUGCGGGACAGGGCAAACCCCACCUGGUGCAAGGUCAAGCAGAAGGUUCCGUUUUCGGACGGAGGAGUUGCUCGCUUCAAAUCCUUCGGGUAGACCGCAAGAUUACAGCAGUAAUGCUGUGGCUAGAUAAAUAAUUGCCAUCCCGCCUAAAGCGGGAUUACAGAAUUCGGCUUAUAGAUAUAAGCCAUCU
Non-coding RNA from Melioribacter sp., 405 nucleotides. The record is from Rfam. NCBI's taxonomy places the organism in Bacteria, Pseudomonadati, Ignavibacteriota, Ignavibacteria, Ignavibacteriales, Melioribacteraceae.